Molecule: long non-coding RNA, 237 nt
Filed under: Mytilus galloprovincialis (Mediterranean mussel)
Lineage: Eukaryota; Metazoa; Mollusca; Bivalvia; Mytilida; Mytilidae
Source: RNAcentral
AGAAAAACAGCACAAACAUUCCUUCGGACAUUCAUCAAACAAAUUAAAUAUAAUAGUCGGCACAAUUUAUUCAUGGAUUAGACCUACUGAAUUUAACUUAUCAUCGGGUUUGUAAUUCUAUGAGUAAAACUACGGAUACCAGGAGCAGGAUCAGCAGAAAAAGUACAAUCACGACAAUACUGAAAUCCGAGGAAACUUCAAAACGGAAAAUCCCUAAUCAAAAUGUCAAGCUCAACC